RNAcentral lists this non-coding RNA (46 nucleotides) under Schistosoma mansoni. The record is from RNAcentral. Lineage: Eukaryota; Metazoa; Platyhelminthes; Trematoda; Strigeidida; Schistosomatidae.
GCACUGUUGAGAAGUUCUACAAUAGGACGAAACGGCCGUCCAGUAC